CAGGAUCUGGAUCUCCUGGGCUGGGUUUGGAUCAGGGUCUGGAAAGAGGCAGUGGCCGGCACCCAUCCCGUCGCUGUCGCGGAUCCCGCUCCGCUGGCCCAGGAAGGCUGUCUCUACCAGAGCCCCGAUUAGGAGAGAGAUGCUAGGGAGUCCAUGGUGGAGUGGCCACAUCUGGAAAACCACCAUGCUGCAUGACCUCCAGACAGAAGAUGGAAAGACAAGUAUAUCCAUCCGUACUUCAGAGAGCUGAACUUACCCUCCUGUCAGCCCACUCCCCUGACAACAAGUGUGCUCCUAACAGAAUGGCAUCAAUGUGUUCAGGAGGGCAGAGAGAGCCCUCUAGGGUUCAUCACCAUUUAAACGACAUACUUCUCAUUGCUGCUACGUUGGGGGUGAAAUUUUGGACACUCCAAAUUUAGAAAACUAAUUCAAACCAUGAAAUUUGCAAUCUCCUUUUGUUGUUGUUGUUACUGUUGUUGUAUUUAUGAUAUGGAUCAAAGGGGACUUCUGUCUUCUUAUAUCUAACAAAUAAAGCACAGAUGUCUUAGGAACUAGUUGGGUGAUUUUUCUUUGAGGAACUAUCUACACAUACAUACACACAGACAGACAUACACACACAGACAUACACACACACACACACACACACACACACACACACACACACACACACAUACACACACCCAUACACACACUCAGAGAGAGGGGGGGUUGGGACAGGUGUUCAAUUGUGUGGCAAGGACAAUAAACAUCCCUAAAAGGAGACAGUUGGGACAUGAGAAAAGUCUCUAACCAAGGGAUUUAAGAGCUGGGGCAAAAGGCUGUGGCAAGGCAACAUUUGUAAAGAAAGGCUAGUUGCAAAGGGAAAGGUGGUCUGGAAGCCAUGAGGACAAAUUGCAGCCAUUUAUUCCCCUUCUCUCUCUGUUGCUUUAAUAAUUGGUUAUCUACAGGAGGGACUUGUACACACAGCCUUGUAGUGUCAUACCUGCCUGGCUUCAGACUUGAAGGCUUAGACAUCAGAGGGACAGUAGAUGUGGCUUCCACUUAGAAAGUGAGCCAGCAGUGGCCAGUAAUGUCCUCAGCAGGGGUGGUCCAAAGACAUCACAGACGUUGCUCCAGGCUACUGUGGGAUUUAAAUUGCUACUGUACAUCGCAAAUCACGGUGAUUUCAACCUGUAUUGUCUACCAAAAUGACAUAAUGACAUAGCUCCAUACCUUCGUCACAAGUCCACAAGGACAUUUUUUCUUUCCCACACAAAGAGCAGAAGUCUAUAGAUAGUGGGACAUUGGCUUAAAUGUGACCACAUUAUUAUCAUUUUGAGAGGACAGAUCCUAUAAAUAAAGUUGCCUAUUUACAUUAGUAAACCAAUGCUCUUGACUUUCCUACGUGGCAAAAGGAGUAUUUCCUGAUGCAUAUCCAAGUGCCUAGCAAUUUACGAGACACUUGUGUGUCCAUUAUGCCACUUGAUUUGAUCACAGCUCUGUCAGGUCAGUUUGUUCGGAGUUGGACAUGAGAAAACUGUAGCUCAGAGGUUGAAAUGACUAUCAAGUGGCCACUCAGCUCUUGAUAAUUGGAUCAUAUUUGUUGGAGUUCUGCAUGUUCCAUUGGCAUCUUUCAUUGCUAUUCCUCUCAUCUCUCAGCACCAGUGCCCAACAGUGUUGUUGGGACUCAUCUUUGGUUAUGCCGUGUCUCGGUUCCUGAAUGUGUCUACAGUUUUUAGACAUCAUCAUUUUCAAGGUGCCUUUCCACUAAAACAGCAGGCUUCCAGUAACCUGAGUGUUAUUGCUCCUUCUCCUCCCCUGUAGUGUUUUUUUUUUAAAGCUUCCAUCAAAUGCAAGGUAAAGAGGGACAUGUCUUUUUACAAAACUAUAACUGAGAGUGUUGAGACACUGAGGUCUAUAUACCCUCAACUGCGGCAUUUUCGACAAAUUCCCAGUCAGCACUUCUAGGACCCAUUCUUGGAUAUUUAAAAGUUGAAUUUUCUAGCUUCAUACUUGUCAAUAUGCAGCUGAACUUACUUACUUGUCAUGACCCAGAUACUAAACACCCAAUGCAUCGUCUCCUGAGAGUUCAACAGCCAAGAGGCCAGUGAUUAGAUAACCUGUGAUCUCCAUUCAGUGCAGAGAACUCUAGGGCAGAUAUAGUUGAGGUGCCAGGUCAGUCCUGUCUUUUUGUAGCUAGUGACAGAAAUAUGGACUUAAGGGAACUGGAGCCAGAGUUAGAGAGCAAGCUUGCCCAGAUGUCAUUGCAUGGAGUAUGUAUCAGGGAAUACUAGAUGGCUAGGGUCAAAAGGCUAAAUGUAUAGCUUUUCUGAUGAGCCAUCAAGGAAUAUGUCCUGUUUGGAGUCAGCCAAACCUAUCUAUAACUAGUCUUCCAAGGCCCAGUACAGGUAUUUAGUGUCGGGUGGUCCUUUGGCUUAGUUCAGUGACCUGCCGCAUCCAUGAGUUUCCAACUCCUUAUUUUGUUACAGUGUUUGGGGAAACAUUUAGGAGACUCAAAGGUUAGACUUCCAAUAGUAAGAAGAAAGAGUAUUAACACAAUCAAAUGACUGAGUGAGUGCUUAACAUGUUGUUGACAUUACCCCCUCACCUGACUGAACAAGUUACUUUCCUGACACUGUUCAUCUCGCUGAGAUGGAGACUAAGCAUGGCUAGGUAACUUGCAUAGCUAUAGAGGAGAUGCUGGCUCUGUAUGGCACUAAAGCCAAGCUUGAAGCCUUCACCCUUGCUGCAGGGCAUUAAGCCUUGCCAUGUGUUUCCAGGCUCUUCCAUUGUUUCCUUCUAUGUACAGCUGGAAUCUUGUGACAGAGACAUAGUUAACAUGCUGAUUUGUCUGACAGAUUCCUAGAAAUGCACUCUGGGAUGAGCCAACCCCAUUGGCCCUUUGCAUUUCUGGCUUCUUGCUGCUUUCUUCUCUCCUUUAUCAGUUUCCUGUUAGACUCAAACACCAUGGGAGAUACCUUAAUGGAUUCCUGAUAUUUUAAUGACAUUUUCAUGUCCUGGGUAUGUUUCUUUCUCAUCUCAGGGUUCAGGGUUGGAGAGAGGGGAGUAUAGAAACUAUCCUGGUUGUGCACCCCCUUCCACCCACAGUUUGGAAAGUGAGCUUUAUGGAGAUAGGGAACUUCUGCUUUCACAUUGUUGUAGAGACCUUAGUUACGACAGUUACACACAGUUACAGAGAACCAGGGUCCAGCUCCAUAUAGUAACACUUCAUUAUAGGUAAGACCAUGUGAAAAUGAGAUUAUUAAUGGGUUCUCUAUAACAGGGGAUGUUUAAAGAGGGCCUAGACAUCUACUUGGCAAGGAUUUUAUAGGAAGAUUUGAAUAUUGGGGGGAAAAAGAGUUUGAAUCAAAAUGACAUUUAAGGGUCUUUCCGGUCUGGAGAGUCUGUCUUGAAUUCACUUAGAAACUUUAUAUUGGGAAUAAAGGUUCCCCCUUGUUACAAUUAAUACCAAGUAGAGAUGCCGCCUCCUCCCUCCCCGCUGUGCUUCCCCCUUCGGAACAACUACUCAAUUUAAGAAGGGGACUUGGGAUGAGGAAGGAUGUGGCUCCUUCCCACUUGGCAGCACUGCCUUUCAGAAUAGAGGAUUGUGUCUGGGCCUGGCACCGUUCCGUCAGGCCCUCUGACCAGCCCAGUCCUGUCUGUGACCAGAGCACGUGGGAAGUGCACAUCUGUGUAGGAAAGCCACCCACUGGCUGCCAGCUCUGGACUCGUUCCUUCUUUCCUUUUUAACGUCCUAUUGAAUGCAGCCUUGCCCAGGGCAAAGCUCUUGAAGGAAUGGCGACACACCCAGACACAAGUUCCAAUCUGACCAGACAAGCACCUCCUGAAAAAUAUCCCCUUUUGCAGCUGGCAAGAGAUGAAAACGUGCCUUUCAGAGAGGUUUCUUCUUCUUCUUGCCAUUUCAAAGACAAGCUGCUAGCAGGCCGGGAUAUCAAGGAUGUAGCCGUCACCACUGCCCAGUUUUCUUAUAUUCUUUUCAGUUGCUUUAUUACCAAUUCCAAAGCUUUGCUGUUCAAAAAUGAUAAUCCCUUAAUUCCAGAAUUCAGGCAGUUGAUUGGCUCUUGAUGGAAGGAAUAUUUUCCCAAUAAUUGGAUGGACAGGGCAUCUGAGAUAUAUAAGGUGAUCUGGUCCCAAGUACUUACAGACACUUUGGAACCUGCUUCAACUUCAUCACGCAAGAUGUGCUAUCUUCUCAGGAUGUUUUGUCAAGGCUGUCAAAUGAGGAUAUCUCAAACUAUGAAUUUCUAUUCCUUAUCAGGGAGCUUCAGCAUGCUUACAUAUCUUCAGCUGGGUCAGUCCAACUGUUCCCUGGGAAAUAAAGAUGUUACAAACUUGCUAGCUGCGGGAACUCCACCAGAAUCUGUUCAGAGCUGCCUGUAAGAAGUUUGGCCAAGAUUCCCCACAUGCCCCAUAAAUCUUAGUUGCCUGAUGGGUGAGAAAGGCAGCUUCAGCUUCUUCAGCAGCUUGCUUAUUGCUCCUGGGCCCUGGAAGCUGUCUUUUUUUUUUUUUUGAUACAGGACCCUUGCUUGUUUAGAAAUGAAUCUUUCUUGGCAUCUAAAUGGCAAGUUAUUUUUAGGGGACAUUUAACAGAGUUUGGAGGCAGCAUGGUUCCAUCAUCUGAGAAAGGUCUGAACUGAGAAUCAAAGACAUCUCAAAUUUCUACUCAUAAGUUAUCAGAGUCCUGAAAGGCCCCUCACUUGUCCAGUCUGCUGUGUUCCAACAGUUUUCCCAAUGACAUUAUUGACUUCUGAGGUCCUUACUGAUUUUUCUAGGGGCUAUCUCGAUAGAUAAGAAGGAUGAAAGAAUUAAACAAAAUAAUGGCAAAUUACAGCAAUACAAGCUUGGGAACACAAGGGCAGUGUUCUAAGUCAUUCUCAGAAAGCCUUUGUUCUAACAAGGGAACCUGUAAGGACAUCCAGUCUGUGUUGCUUAUCACGUGGAUAUCCCUAUUUGCUUCUCUCUAUUUGCUGAGAGCUGCUUAGAAACAGGACCAAGAGCCUUCAGGAAGCUUAAAAGAUCGUUAUGUUCAAUUCAGUCUUUUUAAAAACAACCAUGAGGUCCUUGUCAAGUGUUUCCCAGAGCCAUGUUCUUACGUUUCCUGCCCCCUUAGCUCUGUACAUUCAUAUACAUUGCUGCAAGUUUACUGUGAUGCCCAUAGUAUAGGGAAAGGGUGCAGCUCUUUUUUGAGAGUUGACUGACUCUGAAUAAUGAAAUUUGACUGCCAGAAGAACUUGCUAGCAAGAUGUGCUUAUCACAUAUAUAGAGAGCUUUGUUUCCCCAUCAUAAAUGUUAUGGAUGUAUUUCCCUCCUUUGUGCACUGUGAGUACAGAAGUCCCAUCCUCUCUCUCUCUCUCUCUCUCUCUCUCUCUCUCUCUC
Molecule: non-coding RNA, 5376 nt
Organism: Cricetulus griseus (Chinese hamster)
Lineage: Eukaryota; Metazoa; Chordata; Mammalia; Rodentia; Cricetidae
Source: RefSeq, a predicted model, not a curated record